AAGUCUUUCGGGAUGUAAACCACUGUUAGGAUUACGAAAGGUUAGGGUCUAAUAGGCCCAAAACUUGAUCUAGUCCAGAGAAAGGGACGGCUAACUCUGUGC
This 102-nucleotide ribosomal RNA is filed under the name uncultured bacterium. RNAcentral describes it as "partial 16S ribosomal RNA". The record is from RNAcentral.